UACGUAGGGUGCAAGCGUUGUCCGGAAUUAUUGGGCGUAAAGAGCUCGUAGGCGGUCUGUCGCGUCGGCUGUGAAAUCCCGGAGCUCAACUCCGGGCCUGCAGUCGAUACGGGCAGACUGGAGUUCGGCAGGGGAGACUGGAAUUCCUGGUGUAGCGGUGAAAUGCGCAGAUAUCAGGAGGAACACCGGUGGCGAAGGCGGUUCUCUGGGCCUGUACUGACGCUGAGGAACGAAAGCGUGGGGAGCGAACAGG
Molecule: ribosomal RNA, 253 nt
Filed under: uncultured bacterium
Lineage: Bacteria
Description: partial 16S ribosomal RNA
Rfam family: Bacterial small subunit ribosomal RNA
Source: RNAcentral